GUGCCAGCCGCCGCGGUAACACGUAGGGAGCAAGCGUUAUCCGGAUUUAUUGGGUUUAAAGGGUCCGCAGGCGGACUAUUAAGUCAGUGGUGAAAGCCUGCAGCUUAACUGUAGAAUUGCCAUUGAUACUGAUAGUCUUGAAUGUGGUUGAAGUGGGCGGAAUAUGACAUGUAGCGGUGAAAUGCAUAGAGAUGUCAUAGAACACCGAUUGCGAAGGCAGCUCACUAAACCAUUACUGACGCUCAGGGACGAAAGCGUGGGUAGCGAACAGGAUUAGAUACCCUGGUAGUCCACGCCGUAAACGAUGAUUACUCGAUGUCGGCGAUAUAAUGUCGGUGUCUAAGCGAAAGUGUUAAGUAAUCCACCUGGGGAGUACGUUCGCAAGAAUGAAACUCAAAUAAAUGACGG
Molecule: ribosomal RNA, 408 nt
Filed under: uncultured bacterium
Lineage: Bacteria
Description: bacterial SSU rRNA
Rfam family: Bacterial small subunit ribosomal RNA
Source: RNAcentral